This 325-nucleotide ribosomal RNA is filed under the name uncultured eukaryote. RNAcentral's name for it is "partial 18S ribosomal RNA". It matches the Rfam family "Eukaryotic small subunit ribosomal RNA", at positions 1470 to 1796 of the family's 1831-position model. The record is from RNAcentral.
CCCUUAGAUGUCCUGGGUCGCACGCGCGCUACACUGAUGCAUUCAACGAGCCUAUCCUUGACCGACAGGUCCGGGUAAUCUUUGAAUCUGCACCGUGACGGGGAUAGAUUAUUGCAAUUAUUAAUCUUCAACGAGGAAUGCCUAGUAGGCGCAAGUCAUCAGCUUGCGUCGAUUACGUCCCUGCCCUUUGUACACACCGCCCGUCGCUCCUACCGAUUGGGUGUGCUGGUGAAAUGUUCGGAUCGGCCGUUUGUCGCGGUUUCCGCGUCAUGUGGCUGAGAAGUUCAUUAAACCCUCCCACCUAGAGGAAGGAGAAGUCGUAACA